CUCUCGAAAAGGCAAAACCCGAGUAAUCGGGUGACGCAAAGUCACGGGUCCCAAUGGGACAGCCGGACCGCCACA
Molecule: non-coding RNA, 75 nt
Organism: Oceanospirillum sp.
Lineage: Bacteria; Pseudomonadati; Pseudomonadota; Gammaproteobacteria; Oceanospirillales; Oceanospirillaceae
Source: Rfam